Molecule: ribosomal RNA, 253 nt
Filed under: uncultured prokaryote
Description: partial 16S ribosomal RNA
Rfam family: Bacterial small subunit ribosomal RNA
Source: RNAcentral
UACGUAGGAAGCAAGCGUUAUCCGGAUUUAUUGGGCGUAAAGCGGGCGUAGGUGGCUUUUCAAGUCCGAUGUGAAAUCUCCCGGCUUAACUGGGAGGGUGCAUCAGAAACUGUUGAGCUAGAGUGCAUCAGAGGAAAGCGGAAUUCCCGGUGUAGUGGUGAAAUGCGUAGAUAUCGGGAGGAACACUAGUGGCGAAGGCGGCUUUCUGGGAUGUAACUGACACUGAGGUCCGAAGGCGUGGGUAGCAAACAGG